AGAGUUUGAUCAUGGCUCAGAAUCAACGCUGGCGGCGUGCCUCAGACAUGCAAGUCGAACGAUUAAGACUUCCUUCGGGAAGUGCAUAAAGUGGCGCACGGGUGAGUAACACGUAAGUAAUCUACCUUCGAGUGGGGAAUAACGUCCGGAAACGGACGCUAAUACCGCAUAAUGCAGCGGCAUCGUAAGAUGACAGUUGUUAAAGGAGCAAUUCGCUUGAAGAGGAGCUUGCGGCAGAUUAGCUAGUUGGUAAGGUAAUGGCUUACCAAGGCUACGAUCUGUAACCGGUCUAAGAGGACGGUCGGUCACACUGACACUGAAUAACGGGUCAGACUCCUACGGGAGGCAGCAGUCGGGAAUUUUGGGCAAUGGGCGAAAGCCUGACCCAGCAACGCCGCGUGAAGGAUGAAGUAUUUCGGUAUGUAAACUUCGAAAGAAUAGGAAGAAUUAAUGACGGUACUAUUUAUAAGGUCCGGCUAACUACGUGCCAGCAGCCGCGGUAAUACGUAGGGACCAAGCGUUGUUCGGAUUUACUGGGCGUAAAGGGCGCGUAGGCGGCAUGACAAGUCACUUGUGAAAUCUCCGGGCUUAACUCGGAACGGUCAAGUGAUACUGUCGCGCUAGAGUGCGGAAGGGGCAAUCAGAAUUCUUGGUGUAGCGGUGAAAUGCAGAUAUCAAGAGGAAUACCUGAGGUGAAGACGGGUUGCUAGGCCGACACUGACGCUGAAGCGCGAAAGCCAGGGGAGCAAACGGGAUUAGAUACCCCCGUAGUCC
RNAcentral lists this ribosomal RNA (774 nucleotides) under uncultured bacterium. Its description in RNAcentral is "bacterial SSU rRNA". It matches the Rfam family "Bacterial small subunit ribosomal RNA", at positions 8 to 796 of the family's 1533-position model. The record is from RNAcentral.